AGCUCAGGGGUAGAGCAUCACCUUGCCAAGGUGGAGGUCGCGGGUUCAAAUCCCGUC
This 57-nucleotide transfer RNA is filed under the name Flavobacteriaceae bacterium. RNAcentral describes it as "tRNA-Gly". It matches the Rfam family "tRNA", at positions 9 to 63 of the family's 71-position model. From Rfam's summary of the family: Transfer RNA (tRNA) molecules are approximately 80 nucleotides in length. Lineage: Bacteria; Pseudomonadati; Bacteroidota; Flavobacteriia; Flavobacteriales; Flavobacteriaceae. The record is from RNAcentral.